This 253-nucleotide ribosomal RNA is filed under the name uncultured bacterium. RNAcentral's name for it is "partial 16S ribosomal RNA". It matches the Rfam family "Bacterial small subunit ribosomal RNA", at positions 524 to 776 of the family's 1533-position model. The record is from RNAcentral.
UACAGAGGUCUCAAGCGUUGUUCGGAUUCAUUGGGCGUAAAGGGUGUGUAGGUGGCGCCGUAAGUCGGGUGUGAAAUUUCGGAGCUUAACUCCGAAACUGCAUUCGAUACUGCGGUGCUUGAGGACUGGAGAGGAGACUGGAAUUCAUGGUGUAGCAGUGAAAUGCGUAGAGAUCAUGAGGAAGACCAGUGGCGAAGGCGGGUCUCUGGACAGUUCCUGACACUGGGACACGAAGGCCAGGGGAGCAAACGGG